Molecule: long non-coding RNA, 852 nt
Organism: Leucoraja erinaceus (little skate)
Lineage: Eukaryota; Metazoa; Chordata; Chondrichthyes; Rajiformes; Rajidae
Exons: 3
Source: RefSeq, a predicted model, not a curated record
CCCUCGCCACGACACUUCGCGAGACCCUGCCGCGUCGCCGUGGUUACCGAGCGGCCGGUGAAGAAGACGCGCAGGCAGAAGCAGCGCCUCCAGUAGCUAGCUCUCUCUAUCUAUCUCUAUAUAUCUUUCAGACCUCCACUGUCAGGGUGAGGCCCGACGCAAGGUGGAGGAACAGCACCUCAAAUUACAAGGCAGUCAGUUAAGAAUAAGGCGUAAGCCAUUUAGAACGGAGACGAGGAAACACUUUUUCUCGCAGAGAGUGGUUCCAACUUCCAGCAUCUGCAUUGUGGCACUUGGUGAAGAGUUGCUUGGGUGGUGAAUAUUUGCACGGCCUCAGGUAAAUGAAAGACAGUGUCAGAAAACUUUCUGCAGAAACUUAAUGAAACUGCCAACUGUUGACUUCUUCAGACAUUUUAAAUACAUCUUUUAACAAAUGGGGAAGUUAAUUCUGAUUAAGAAUGUUUGCUUUUGGUGAUUAUCCCAAUUCCAGCUGCUUUAAUCAAACCACAGCAAGUUUUCACUCAAGCAUAUCAAGGAAUAUAUUUUUAGCAACAUUUGAAUGAGAUAAUGGAUUAAAAAUAUUUAACAAACUGUGGUGGUUCACAGCUGUACUGUUAUUCACUACCAUUGCAAAUAAUGAAUGGUUUCAAAAAGUCUCAAAAUUAGUGCAUUGUCUCCAGAGUAAUAAUUUUAGGUACCUUGCCUAUAUUAUAUUUUCAGCAAUAUAAUCAAUUAGAUUUAUCUUGGAUUGUUUAUCUCUGAGACAUAAUAAACACCAUGUCACUGGUGAGCACUGACCUCAGUUUAAAAAAAGUACCUCAAGUGUUUUUUUUCAGUGAGAAUUUUUUAAAA